AGGGAGGGCAUUAGAAUUCCCUGGAGAGCUUUUCUAAAAUGUAUAUCCCUAGGCCCAAUUCCCAAAAGUUUUUAGAUUUGGGGAGUUAUGCUUGGCACCAAAAUAUGCACAUUUUAUUAAAGGUGUUCAACAAAACUGAUAAAAGCCCCCAGUCAGGAUACACUGAUAAAAAUUAUCUCUUGUGGAGAUGUGAAAUUUCUUUCAUAAUGAGAUUAUAAACUUCUUGAGGACAUGAACCAUGCUUUGUUCUUGUGUAUCUCCCCCACAAUGCUGAGAACAUGGCCACGACUGGAUAACAUUCCUUUUUCUUGUUCGACUACAAGAUCUCUGAGAGUGGGGCCCACAAUACGCAUUGUCAGAGGAUUCAGAGGGACAGAGAUCACAGGUGGAUCAUUCAACUGUUGCCACAAUUAUGCUGUGUAAUAAGUAACUGCAGAACUUCAGCGACAUACAACAAUGUGCAUUUGUUGUUUAGGUAUUUGGGAUCAGCAGGGAUAGGCUAAGCAUCUCUUGGAUCUUUCCUGUGCUUACUCACAUAUAUGUGGGGUGUUAGGCCAAGCUCACUUAACUGUUUACAUUUCAGCAGCUCACUUAUGGAUCCAAGAACUGGCUCUGUUUCAUAAGACUUUGAUAGCUCCUUCUGGGACAUCAGGCUAGUCAACAUGAGUUUUCUGAAGAAAAUAGUAGAGAACAAGAGGACAAAACUAGAUGCAACAAGCCCAUUCCAAGCCUUUAAGUGCAAUCAUUGACCAAAGCAAGUCCCAUGGUAAAAGCUCAUGGAAGGAGAGUACAGCAUAGUUACAUAAACAACUGUGCACAUCAAAAGGUGGGAAGAAGUAUUGUCAUUUUCCCAAGCUACCACAAUGGAACUCGCAUUAAUGUCUCUUCUUUACAGAGCCCACUCUAAUGCUUUUCUGAAGGUCAAUUCUCGUUGUGUAUAAUCCCAAUCAGGAUGUCUCUAAAACAGCCUUACUACCCUUGAGUGAGCAAGUCAGUAAUCUUGUUUGGAGGGGAAAAAUAAGUUUCAAAUAAACAAUCACACUAAUGCCACUUCAUUUGCCAUUAAAUAGAAAAAUACCACCUUGUAUUUCACAGACUUGACAGCACCCAGGUAAUAUGUCACACUUCAUUGAAUGAGAACAUCAACUGCAGAAGACAAAAUGUUUGUUGUUCAAUAAGAUUAUCUACUACAUGAACAAGGUUUGUGGAAUUGUCAGCAUGAUGUGUUUGAAUUCAGGAAAUUAAACCAAGAACUGUGACUGAAAAUGUUAAAAACACCACAAAUUUGCUUUGAAAUGAUACAGCAUCUUGUCUUCACUUGUGAUUUGACCACUGGUUUCAUCUUUAUUACCUGUGGUGCUGCUUAGUGAACUAUUGCAAAGCAGCCCAUGCAGUCUAUCAUGGAAGUUCAAUUUAGUGUUGCCAGAGAAUCAUCUGGGGGCUGAUGAUUCCUUGGCUUCCAGCAAGGCCACACCAUCUCUUUGUCUAAGGAACCUUAUCUCCUAAAAAGCCAGGGAAUUAUAACAGAGUAGCAAUUAUAUAACUUAUGCUCCUAUCUGUCUAUCUCUCUCUCUAUCUAUCCAUCCAUGUGUUCAUCACCAAAAUAAUAGCUAAAUUACUAUGACUAUUUUUUCUAAAUUAAUGUACUCAUUUUCCAUCGAUUCUUUAUUUACCCUCAAGGUAGGUACUUCAUUAACUCCUGGGGAGUGAGAUUGAUCAGCAAAACAAAUAUUAUAUAAACUGUAGAAAGGAAAAUUGCUUUCUAAUCCUACUUUGUCCUUACUUUUUCAUGGGAUUUUAGGUAAAUCUCUUAACUAAUCAAUAUUCUUAUCUAUAAAAGCAGACAGUUUGUAUAUAUGAAUGGCAAGGGUCUUUGCCUUUGUAGCCCAAUAAUAGAUGAAGGGUCUAAAGUAAACUCUGGGUCAAUAAAAUAUAUACAUUUUUGUUUAUAUAGGAGAGGGCAAUGUAGAAUCACCCUGUAGGGGCAGGUUUGUCUUUUUAUUAAAGUUGUUAAGCUGAGUUUUGCUUGGUUUUCCUUUCUACGAGGAAGGAAAUUAACUUGUAGGAUAAAAGAAAAGGCAACACAGAGACACAAACAAAGAUGUGAGUUUGUGCAAUAUAUCUAGUAGAGUUCAGUUUCACUACCUGGCAUUGAUGGACAAAAAUAAGUGAGACAAAUUGGUAUUUACAUAUAACCAAAAAGUUUCUUUUGGGAUUUUCUAAGUAUUAGAGAAAAGAAGAGCUGAGAGAGGCUUAAUAAACUCUUUCUCUGACAAAAGGAGACGUUUGAGAUUUUUCCAUGAAUGUGAUGAUGAUGCAGCCAGGGAACACACCCAUUUUCCUGGAAAGUCAAGAGUCUUAGCAUUCCACAGUAUUCAGGACCAUCCCUCCUGCACACAUGCAAACAUACAUGACUGAUUCGUCUCUAGGCAACACAGCACCAUUGGGAGCAGGCUGGUGACAAAGCUAGGUCCUCAGGCAAGUGGAGGUUAAAAGUUCAAUUUCACUUUCUCAAGUGGAAAAUUCUGUGUACUAACAUUGUAGUCUCUUUUUUAGUCACAAAGAGGGAAUAAUUGAGUUGGAAUUGGGGAAAAAACUUUUGUUUUAGUUCCCUUAGGUAUUUUUUGGUAGAGCUUUGUACCUGGUGCCACUUGCCACAAAGAAAAUCUAGCAAGCACUUGGACAAACUACUCUGGGCCUAGGACACCAGGUAAUUAAGGGAAGUUGUCUGGAUGGUUCAAAAGGAGGAUGAGAGGAACAAUAGCUGGUCUUCCACUUGGGACCAGCCCGUGUUAACCUUGGAGGAAGUGGAGACUAUAAUAGGAAUAAAGCUAGUGGCAGAAAAUUAAUUAUUUCAAAAUGUUUGUUUUCAACACAGUUUGAAUUGUGGUGCCUUGUAUGUGGAUACAUAAGCAAUACCUAAAAAAAUACAAUGCUAUGAAUGUUUAACAGUCAAAUGAUAUCUUGAUGUCAUUGCCACUCAUAUGUACAUGCAUUUUUAACUUGAUUUGACUGCUGCAGUGGGACAUGCUAAAAUUGAAGCAUAGUUAUUUCCAAGACUUAGAAGUUUAAAAAUUCAAGCUACAUGGUGUUGUCUUGGGAUGAAGAAAUCAAUCCUGUAAUGGCAAAAAGGGAAAAGCAUGGAAAAAUAGAUAAUUAUUGCCUAAAUUUAUAAUUUGAUAUUCACAUUUCAGAGAUUACCAAUAUAUUCAACAAGAAAAAGCAAUAAAAUAUUUUUCAGGGGACACCCUGUGCAAGAGGAAUAGUAUACUGUUUAAUUUGCAUGUAGAAAAGUUGGGGUCCUUGUUUCCACAAAAAGAGAAAUUGUGAUUAAAUAAGGGUAAUUGGUGAUGCUCAGUGAGAACAUUUGAUUGUGUGACUCAUGUUUUGGAACACCGCUGCCCUAUCAGAAAACUAGACUGAGACCCUCCUAUUGCUGGGAAUUGUCUAAUUAGAUGACAGGUUUUAAUUAGAUAGGACUCUUCAGCCUGCUUACUCUCUGCCUUUAUCUCUCCAUGAGCUAUUUCCCCAUCAGAAGGAUGUGGUAGCUAUAAUUAUUCCAGUCAUCCUAAAGAAAAUGUUUUAAAGUACAGUAGUUAGCUGUCAAAAUGAAAGGCUAAUUUCCAGUUAUGAGAGCAUUUUCCAAACGGAAAUCUUCCUUUCAUUCUGGAUAGACAUUUUUGUGUCCAUUUCUAGCUUUAUUAGACUCCAUUUUCUCCUUCCUGGACAGCUAAUUUCUUUUGUAACUGUUGAGAAUUAAAGGAAUUCCUCAAUUCCAGAAAUGUUUCCAGCUGUUUUAACUCUAGCCAGACUGUCUACAUUACCUAAAAAAGUACCUAAAGACAUGGCACAUGUAAUAAAAAUUGCCUAGCAAGAGCAUAAUGGAACCAAAUAAUUUGGAAGAAUUUCUCAUAAUACAUGGUAUUUUAAUAGAUAUAAAGUAAAAAGAAAAUCAAUGGUAUAAUAUUUGGGCAAUUAAGAGCUAAA
This 3987-nucleotide long non-coding RNA is filed under the name Sus scrofa (pig). RNAcentral's name for it is "lncRNA (ENSSSCG00000062989.1)". The record is from RNAcentral. Lineage: Eukaryota; Metazoa; Chordata; Mammalia; Artiodactyla; Suidae.